AACAAGGUUUCCGUAGGUGAACCUGCGGAAGGAUCAUUAUUGAAUUU
This 47-nucleotide ribosomal RNA is filed under the name Rhizoctonia solani. Its description in RNAcentral is "partial 18S ribosomal RNA". Lineage: Eukaryota; Fungi; Basidiomycota; Agaricomycetes; Cantharellales; Ceratobasidiaceae. The record is from RNAcentral.